GUCUGUUUGCUUAAAUAAACAGUCUAGCCUGCCCACUGAAGUAUUAAAGGGCCGCGGUAAUUUGACCGUGCGAAGGUAGCAUAAUCAGUAGUCUUUUAAUUGAAGGCUUGUAUGAAUGGUUGGAUGAGGGACAUUCUGUCUUUUUUUUGAAUUAGAAUUUAACUUUUAAGUGAAAAGGCUUAGAUAAAAUGAAGUGACGAUAAGACCCUAUAAAACUUUAUAUAGUGUUUAUUUAACUUUGAAUUAGUUUUAAUUGAGUUAAUUUUGCUUUAUAUUUCGUUGGGGAAACGUUGAUAUAAAUGUAAUUGUUUAUUAAAUUUAAUAGUUAUAAUUAGUUUUUGAUCCUUUAUUAUAGAUUAAGAGUUUAAGUUACUUUAGGGAUAACAGCGUAAUUUUCUCUGAGAGUCCUUAUCGACGAGAGUAGUUGCGACCUCGAUGUUGAAUUAAAAUUUCAGGUUGGUGUAGCCGCUUUCCUUGUAGGUCUGUUCGACCUUUAAAAUUUUACAUGAUUUGAGUUCAAACCGGUGUGAG
Molecule: ribosomal RNA, 531 nt
Filed under: Thaumastocaris streptopus
Lineage: Eukaryota; Metazoa; Arthropoda; Malacostraca; Decapoda; Palaemonidae
Description: partial large subunit ribosomal RNA
Rfam family: Bacterial large subunit ribosomal RNA
Source: RNAcentral